Molecule: ribosomal RNA, 429 nt
Filed under: Bacteroidota bacterium
Lineage: Bacteria; Pseudomonadati; Bacteroidota
Description: Bacteroidetes bacterium partial 16S ribosomal RNA
Rfam family: Bacterial small subunit ribosomal RNA
Source: RNAcentral
UAGGGAAUCUUCCGCAAUGGACGCAAGUCUGACGGAGCAACGCCGCGUGAGUGAAGAAGGAUUUCGGUUCGUAAAACUCUGUUGUUAGAGAAGAACAGCGCAUAGAGUAACUGUUAUGCGUGUGACGGUAUCUAACCAGAAAGCCACGGCUAACUACGUGCCAGCAGCCGCGGUACUACGUAGCUGGCAAGCGUUGUCCGGAUUUAUUGGGCGUAAAGCGAGCGCAGGCGGUCAAUUAAGUCUGAUGUGAAAGCCCCCGGCUCAACCGGGGAGGGUAAUUGGACACUGGUUGAAUUGAGUGCAGGAGGGGAGAGGGGAAUUGCAGGUGUAGCGGUGAAAUGCGUAGAUAUAUGGAGAAACUCCGGUGGCGAAAGCGGCUCUCUGGUCUGUAAAUGACGCUGAGGCUCGAAAGCGUGGGGAGCGAACAGG